This is a long non-coding RNA of Oncorhynchus masou masou (cherry salmon), 277 nucleotides long. RefSeq lists it as uncharacterized. The transcript has 3 exons. NCBI's taxonomy places the organism in Eukaryota, Metazoa, Chordata, Actinopteri, Salmoniformes, Salmonidae. The record is from RefSeq and is a predicted model, not a curated record.
UUCUAAAGGACAGCGGGUUCUUCCGGUACCUCCACACGGCGGUCAUCGUUAGCGGAACCAUGCUGGUGUUUGGAGGGAACACUCACAACGACACGUCCAUGAGCCACGGCGCCAAGUGCUUCUCCUCGGACUUCAUGGCCUAUGACCUGGCAUGUGAUGAGUGGUCAGUGCUGUCCAGACCAGACCUCCACCAUGAUGUCAACCGGUUUGGACACACGGCCGUCUACAGUGACAGUGUGAUGUAUGUGUUCGGGGGUUCAACAGUCUGUUGUUGAGU